Molecule: ribosomal RNA, 124 nt
Filed under: Microcebus murinus (gray mouse lemur)
Lineage: Eukaryota; Metazoa; Chordata; Mammalia; Primates; Cheirogaleidae
Source: RNAcentral
AUCUACGGCCAUACCACCCUGAACGCACCCGAUCUCGUCUGAUCUCGGAAGCUAAGCAGGGUCAGGCCUGGUUUGUACUUGGAUGGGAGAUGGAGUCUCGCUCUUACUCAGGCUGGUCUCGAAC